CCUGUCACAUCUGGAGGACAAUGUUUCAUUGGCUAUUUGUUUCUUCUGGAUUUGGCUGACAGAUGAUGUACAAACACUGAUCUUGUUAGACAGUUUUGAUCCAUAAGCAUCUUCUUUCAGAAAAAUUACAAUUUUAUCACAACAGGAGGCUCCUAAUAUAAUGCAUAUCUUUCUCUUUAUAAACUCUCAGCAGCGAAACAGUUAAUACAGUGAAAAAGAAAAAAGCUUAGAACGCAUCCAAACAUGACUAGACAGGUAGCCAAUCACUGAAGACCCUAGUCCAUAAAUUGCUCGUCUGUGAGGUAAUCUUCCUCUUUCUCGCUGCUCUCAGCUAAAGAUACGUAUUGCAUUUAUUGCUUAUUGUUAUAUUAUCAUUGUUACCGACUCUGUGAUAUAUAUAUAUACCUCAUUAUACAUAUUUAUAGCAUUUUUCUUUAAGUCACCUUCACCAUAUCCAUUACCAGUGACUGUUACUUAAUUUACUGUUAACACUUUCCUUAUAGUUCAACCCUACUCAUUCAUCUUACAUUCCCCCUCCCCCCCCCCCCUCCUCCAGAUAAUAAUUCAUUAUCUCCACUGUAUCCCUUUAUUAUUACGGUCCCUCAUACCUAAAUACAGUUUAUCUGAACUCCGAGACUCUGCCGCUCUCACCCGUUGACAGCUAUGCUUCCUUAUCAGCGUUUGUAAUCCCGGCUGUCGCGAGAUCUCGCUCCCACUCAGUGAACGGAGUCUCCUCACACAACUGCCAGCAUUCUUAUCAGCUGUUCGCGCUCAACUGUUCCUGUCAGAAUUUCCUCACAGCUAUCUGUACUACACCCUGCCUCCAUUUACACCUCCACCGAAGGCUCCCUUAAAUUCUUAUACUGCCAACUAGUAGUUAUUAACAAGAGACUACCUUAUUUGAAUUAACUCCAUCAUUACCAUAUUCCUAACUUUACUAUAGACUUCCACCUAACAUAUUAUAUUCACUCUGCUCCGCUCUAUAUUAUAAUGGAAAAUACCUCACCCACCAAUAUGGAGGUUAACCCUUUGGAGACAGAUAAUUUUGACCCUAGGACACAAGACCGUAUUCAGUCUAUGGUGGACAUGUCCAUAUCUAAAUCAAUUAAUACAGCAAUGUCAUCUGCUAUAUCAGUACUUAAUGAUACAGUUGCCAGGUCCAUUUCGUUGGUUAUGGCACAUAAUAAACCAAAUAUUUUCUCUACACCCUCAGAUCAAUAUUGGUCUGCAGAGGAAUCUACUGCUCAAUUAGCAAUGGGUCAUAAGCAAGCCGGUAAACGCUUAAAGAAACAAAAAUUCUGUUCGGACGACCGUAAAACCCGUAAACAUAAACCAAUACCUGAAACCAGGGUAGGUCAGGCCCAUUAUAGCAUGUCACCUACUUCCAGUGGCCCUGAAUUCUGUGCUACUAGUUCACAGACCAGACCCUCUGUCCGAGAGGAAGCGUCUAAUAUUCGGACUCAGACAGCCCAUAAAAGGGCGAAACCGGACGUAUAUUUGACCCACCAUGAUUCAGAUUCAUAUUCUGAUAUUUCCGAUGAUGACCUAUCUAUUGAGAUGGAAGAUAUUGGGUCUGAAGAAGGAGAAAUUGUUGACCCUCCUGCUGUUGAGACUUCAACAGAAAAAACCACUCCAAUUAUUUUGGACACUCAGGGUAACCCUUACUUUGAGCCUGACUCCAUUGCACACCCAAGAUCCUCAGAUUGGGUACCUCAUCCACAGAUUGCCAAGUAUCUAACCUCAAAGGUUAAAAAAGCACUUGACAGAUCCGCUCGUAAUAAAUUACGUGCAGAGUGCCCAAGGCCUUCUCUCCCAGACCUAGCAGCAGUAACCCCCGAACUGGACCCAGUUUUAGUGAAAUAUAUAUUAAAGACGGGUAAAAACCCUAAAAAAGGACUUGAUCGUUCCCUCAAAAGCGUUCAAGAUAAAUACUUGGACAUUUUAGGCCCCCUCUCUAAGAUCUUUGAUAUAUCAGAACAAUCAAUGGCAUCAGGACAACCAAUGGACGCCUCCAUUAUUCAUGGCUGGGUCCAAAGGGCCAUAUGUUUCUUCGGUAACGGUAAUGCUGCAAUGACCGCUGAAAGGCGAAGGACAAUUCUGAUGAAACUGGACCCCCAGUUAACUAAUUUAGCUACUGCAGAAUUUGGACCUUCUACCGAAGGUCUCUUAUUUGGUGACGGAUUUGUCAAAGAAAUAGGAAAAUUUGUAGGAAUAUUUACUUCUUUGGAUAAGGCCCAAAAUUCACUAAGAAAGGUCUUCCAGAGUAGAGUUUUUGGCAGGGCUGGAAAAGGGAGGAGCCGUUUUUCCAGCCGCUCAGCAACAUCCAGAGGAUACUUCAAAGGCUCCUACAACCAGGAAAGACCACAGAAUCCCACCUCUACUUAUCAAGCAUCGCCCUUCUUCCCAUCCCGAGCCAGACCUUGGAGGGCAAGAGGAAACAGAGGAUUUCCCAGAUCCAGACCUUCCUCAGGUGAGUCCAAUUCCCCUAUUUUCUUCCCUCCUUCCUCUCGGGGGAAGACUCCAACAUUUUUCCCAAGCUUGGGCUUCAAUAACCUCAGACUCAUGGGUACUGAACACAAUAUCAGGUUACAUGAUAUAAUUCAUUUCCCCCCCAAUUCAAAUCUCUCCACCCCAUCCCAUUCAUUUCUCCACCCAAGACAAAGAUCUCAUCAAUCAGGAAUUGAUGGAUUUAUCUUCAAAGAAUGCCAUCAUUCAAGUACCCCUUCAAUCCCCAGGCUUCCUCAGCAACAUCUUUCUAGUAAAAAAGAAAGAUGGGGGAUACAGACCUGUAAUCAAUUUACGAUAUCUCAACAACUUCGUAGUAUACCACCAUUUCAAAAUGGAGGGUAUUCAUCUCCUAAGAGACCUCCUUCUCCUAAACGAUUGGCUAGUAAAAGUGGAUCUGAAAGAUGCCUAUCUUACAGUCCCUAUUCAUCCAUCUCACCAACUUUACCUGCAAUUCCUAUGGCAAAAUCAGAAAUGGCAAUUUACCUGCCUCCCAUUCGGCCUCUCAUCGGCCCCCUGGUGCUUCACCAAAAUCUUGAAGCCAAUAAUAUCUCUACUGAGGAGCAGAGGUGUUCGUCUUAUCAUCUACUUAGACGACAUCCUCAUCAUGGCUCAAUCAAAAAUUCUGAUCCAACGACAUCUUCAAUGGACAUUAUCCCUUCUAACCAACUUGGGAUUUUCUAUCAAUCUCAAGAAAUCAGUAUUGACCCCGUCAAGGGAAGUAGAAUUUCUAGGAUUUUCCAUCAACACUCAGACAACCACGCUGAGUUUACCCUCCAAGAAAUUACAAUUGAUCAGAAAAGAAAUUCGUUCUACUCUGAACAAAGAUCUAAUAUCCCUAAAAAGCAUCGCUCGUAUUGUGGGUCUUUUAUCUGCGUCCAUACAAGCAAUUUUCCCAGCCCCCUUACAUUACAGGGCUCUUCAACGCCUCAAGAUUCAGCAUCUGAGGGAAGGCCUUGCCUAUUCGGACUUCAUACCCCUAUCGAUAGAGGCCAGGGAGGAACUCCUCUGGUGGCUUGGCCAUAUCCAGACCUGGAACGGCAAAGCAAUCUUCAAUUGCAACCCAGAUCUGAUCAUAGAGUCAGACGCCAGUCUUGUAGGCUGGGGAGCUCGUUGCGGAUCCCUUUCUACGGGAGGAAAAUGGUCAGAACAAGAAGGUUCCCUUCACAUAAAUGCAUUGGAAUUAUUAGCAGGUUUCUUCGCCAUCAAGAGCUUUGCAAAAUUCAGAUCGCAUUGCUGCAUUUUACUUCGCUUGGACAAUAUAUCAGCAGUCCAAUACAUAAACAAGUUAGGAGGUACCACUUCGAAAAUUCUCUCAGAUAUUACAAUCAAUAUCUGGAACUUCUGUUUCGACAGGAAUAUUAUCUUGAAAGCAGAAUACUUACCUGGUCUAUCCAACGAUGUGGCAGACUGGAACUCCCGCUACCUAUCAGACCACAGCGACUGGACACUAGAUCCUGCCAUUUUCUCAUCAAUAAAUUCCCAUUGGGGUCCUCUAUACAUGGACCUAUUUGCCUCUCGACUGAAUCGCCAAUUACCUCUGUUCUUCAGUUGGCGUCCGGACCCAGAAGCUCUAGGAGUAGAUGCAUUCCUACAGAUUUGGCCGGAAACGACACUCUACGCCUUCCCUCCAUUUGCCUUGAUUCCAAGAGUGUUAUCUCAAGUCAUCUAUCAGAAAUCCACAAUAGUCUUGAUAAUUCCCCAUUGGCCAUCCCAAUCUUGGUUCCCCCAGAUUCUAUCUCUCCUCAUAGACUUCCCACUCCUUCUUCCCAAUCAUCCAUCCAUUCUCCUAGAUCCUUCAGGGAAUCAACACCCUCUUGUUCUUUCUGGAGGCCUCAACCUGGUAGCUUGCCUCGUAUCGAAUCAACAACCCCUAAUAUUGAAAUUUCGCAAUCAGCUAAAGACAUAUUAUCCGAAGCCUGGGCUCCGGGCACCAGAAAGGCUUACAGAUCAGCCUGGCAAUUUUGGGUUCAUUGGUGCUCUCAACGACACCUGGAUCCCUAUAACUCAUCUAUCUCAAAUAUCCUAAAUUAUUUAUCUGAAGCCUUCGACUCUGGCAAAGCCUAUAGGACUAUUAAUUUAUAUAGAUCUGCCAUCUCCUCAGAACAUAACCUCAUUAAUUCACUCCCCAUCGGUAAACAUCCUCUCAUAUGUAGAUUACUCAAAGGCAUUCGAUUUAAAAGACCCCCUCUUCCUAGAUAUCGCUCUACCUGGGACGUAUCCCUUAUCCUCAAUUUAUUCUCUUCUUGGGAAGACAAUGACUCACUUUCAUUAAAAUUCCUCUCUUAUAAACUAACAGUUCUCCUCUGCUUAAUCUCAAUCAAAAGAGUAUCCGAUGUUAAGGCUCUGGACAUAUCUUCCAGAUCCUUUACACCUCAAGGAGUUACCUUCAGGAUUUCACGCCGUACAAAAACCAAUAUUCAAUCAGUUUUCUAUCCGACUUUUCUUCAACAUCCCAAAUUAUGCCUUGUCAGAUGUCUUAAAUCUUACGAAUCCAAGACCUUUUCUCUCAGAUCCCCUAAUAACUCUCAACUUCUCAUUUCUUUCCGAAAACCACACCUUCCUGUAUCCUCUCCCACCUUAGCUAGAUGGGUCAGACACACCAUGUCUCUUGCAGGUAUUGACACUUCCCAAUUCGGUGCCCACUCCUUAAGAAGUGCCAUGUCCACAAAAACUAUCCAAACAGGUGGCUCACUUAAUGAUCUCCUGAAGGCCGCAGAUUGGUCUUCAGAAUCUACUUUCAAAGCCUUUUAUUUUAGACCAGAAUCUCACAUAUCUAUGUCAGUGUUGUAAUCAAUUGUAUAGCUUUAAACUUGCAUUAUAUUAGGAGCCUCCUGUUGUGAUAAAAUUUGAGAUUUUCCUAGUUAUUAUGACGGAAAAUAUGGAUUUUAUAAACAACAGGAGGCGAGUAAUAUCCCUCCCUAAUUCCCUACCCUAUUAUCACUCUUUUUGUCUUAUUUCAGCUUACUGAUGGAAUCCACAAAGCUUCACUUUCAUAGAUUUGAGUCUAAUUCUUCUACAUCCCGUUCCUACUGUUCCGAAUACCUAUUGAGAAGUCAUCAAAGUGUUCGAAGUCUUCAAUUUCUACUUAUGAACUUUGGUUUAUCUUCAUGCAUCGAGAAAGAGGAAGAUUACCUCACAGACGAGCAAUUUAUGGACUAGGGUCUUCAGUGAUUGGCUACCUGUCUAGUCAUGUUUGGAUGCGUUCUAAGCUUUUUUCUUUUUCACUGUAUUAACUGUUUCGCUGCUGAGAGUUUAUAAAGAGAAAGAUAUGCAUUAUAUUACUCGCCUCCUGUUGUUUAUAAAAUCCAUAUUUUCCGUCAUAAUAACUAGGAAAAUCUCAAAUUUUAGCACACUUUUAGUAUCUUCAUGCAAGGUGGUUCCCCGUGUCACAAAGGUCAUGAAGUGACACGUAAGGAUCAUGGCACUAAGUGUUGGCCCAAGUGUUUCCCAACCAGGGUGCCUCCAGCUGUUGCAAAACUACAACUCCCGGCAUACUGGGAGUUGUAGUUUUGCAACAGAUGGAGGCACCCUGGUUGGGAAACACUGCCUUGGCCAGACAACAGCCCCAAAAUAAUCCAUUAAUGAACUUAUGGGCUGUUCUAAAGUCAGAAAUCAGAAAAAGAACAUAAACCAACAGUAACUGAUUAAAGAACUUACCAGAGCUAAGGGUGCAUGCACACCAUGUUAAAAACCGUAUGGAACUGUCUAGAAAACUGUAUGAAUUGACUUAACAUUGUAAACCGUAUGUCAAACGCAUCAUCCGGUUUAGUCCGUUUUGCGUCUUAUAAGGUUUUGUCCGUUUUUUUUUUCCCGUACCCAAAACUGCAGUCUACCACGGUUUUUGGUCUGGGUGAAAAACUUUAUUAAACCAUAUAAGUUUUUUUUUUUUUUUAACAUGGAGUCAAUGGGAACCGUACAGAACCGUAUGUGCGUACGGUUCCAUCCGGUUUUCAACAUACGGUUUUUGACUUUGCACAGUUUUUUUCUUGGAACUUCAAUCAAACAAGUGAAGCUUUAUUCCAAAUGGAGUGAAAAGUUUAAAACUUAUAAGUUUUUUUCUUAAAAAACGGAUACAACCGGAGAUCAUUUUUCAAACCGUAUACGGUUUUCAACCGUAUACAGGUUAAAAUUUGUACACACGUUUUGAUACAGUUUAGUCAGGUUUUGAGGAAUCCGUUUUUUAUCAAAAACCUGAUACGGGAAGUGUAUUGCAAAAACAUGGUGUGAACCCAGCCUAAGACACCCAGUGACUGGAUGACUGAACACUGCAAGGAAGUUGUUCUCUUUGAAAGUGAGUAAAGGGUCAUAUAAAAAAUAUAACUUCUAUCAGAACAUGUUCUAUAAAGAACAUGUAAAAUUAAGUUUCUUUAGUAUUAUUUUAUAUUCCUGUAUUAUAAUGCAAGGCAAACCAACAAUUAAAAAUGUUCUCUCAAAACAUUUCUAUUAAUUUGGCCAACACUGUAGUAUAAUCUUUUGGCCUAAAGACUAAGGGAAAGAUUUAUCAAAACCUGUGUAGAGGAAGAGUGGAGCAUUUGGUCCUAGCAACCAAUCAGAUCGCUCCUUUCAUUUUCAAAAAGGCCUCUGGAAAAUGAAAGUAGUAAUCUGAUUGGUUGCUAUGGGCAACUGCUUCACUUCCCCUCUGCACAGGCCAAUGAUCAGGCAAAUGAAUGAACAAACCAACACAGAAUAAAUUGAACACAUUGCCGGGAUAAGAAGAUUAUAAAAGGAGGGUGAUACCCUACUCAAAGUGCAAGAUUUUAUUCAGCACAAGAUAACAGUGGUAAAGAAGGGAUUUAGCUGGUUGCAAUGACCAAAUGCCCCACUGUUUGUCCGCACUGGAUUUUGCCCUUGAAUUUCUCGGUCUCCUGGCCACAACUAAGGGAACAGGUGUCUGUGUCAGCAGAGAAAGAAUUAUCCCUCUCGAAUGAAGGAAAUUGCAACCGCAUCACAGGGCACAAACAAAUAUACAAAUGCUGGAAACCUUGGCUUGUGUUUUGCAAUACAAUAAGAGGCUCGAAAACCCCAAUAAGGAAAACAACAAGGUACCUUGGUUCUUGAGAAUACAAACAGAGGAAGUGUGUGUUUGUGGU
Molecule: RNA transcript, 7598 nt
Organism: Hyla sarda
Lineage: Eukaryota; Metazoa; Chordata; Amphibia; Anura; Hylidae
Gene: SLC35D4
Gene name: transmembrane protein 241
Exons: 5
Source: RefSeq, a predicted model, not a curated record